Molecule: ribosomal RNA, 253 nt
Filed under: uncultured prokaryote
Description: partial 16S ribosomal RNA
Rfam family: Bacterial small subunit ribosomal RNA
Source: RNAcentral
UACAGGGGGUGCAAACGUUGCUCGGAAUUAUUGGGCGUAAAGCGCACGUAGGCGGUUGCUUAUGUCGGAUGUGAAAGCCCUCGGCUUAACUGAGGAAGUGCAUCCGAAACUGGGCAGCUAGAGUACGAAAGAGGGUCGCGGAAUUCCCGGUGUAGAGGUGAAAUUCGUAGAUAUCGGGAGGAACACCGGUGGCGAAGGCGGCGACCUGGGUCGAUACUGACGCUGAGGUGCGAAAGCGUGGGGAGCAAACAGG